This 332-nucleotide ribosomal RNA is filed under the name uncultured bacterium. RNAcentral describes it as "bacterial SSU rRNA". It matches the Rfam family "Bacterial small subunit ribosomal RNA", at positions 568 to 898 of the family's 1533-position model. The record is from RNAcentral.
UGCGUAGGCGGUGCGGUAAGUCUUCUGUGAAAUCUCCGGGCUCAACUCGGAGUCUGCAGGGGAAACUGCCGUGCUGGAGUAUGGGAGAGGUGAGUGGAAUCCCCGGUGUAGCGGUGAAAUGCGUAGAUAUCGGGAGGAACACCUGUGGCGAAAGCGGCUCACUGGACCAUUACUGACGCUGAUGCACGAAAGCUAGGGGAGCAAACAGGAUUAGAUACCCUGGUAGUCCUAGCCCUAAACGAUGAUCGCUUGGUGUGACAGGUACCCAAUCCUGUCGUGCCGGAGCUAACGCGUUAAGCGAUCCGCCUGGGGAGUACGGUCGCAAGGCUGAA